RNAcentral lists this ribosomal RNA (497 nucleotides) under Coloceras setosum. RNAcentral's name for it is "partial 16S ribosomal RNA". It matches the Rfam family "Bacterial large subunit ribosomal RNA", at positions 1832 to 2595 of the family's 2925-position model. Lineage: Eukaryota; Metazoa; Arthropoda; Insecta; Psocodea; Philopteridae. The record is from RNAcentral.
UCCUCACUUUAUUAUUUGAGGUAUGGCCUGCUCAAUGCGAUUAAAGUAAAUAGCCGCAGUACUCUGACUGUGCAAAGGUAGCAUAAUAAGUUGGCCUUUAAUUGGGGUCUAGAAUGAAUGGCUCGACAAGGAUUUAACUGUCUUAGGAUAAGACUUCUUGAAGUUGAAUUGUUUGUAAAAAUGCAAACAUGAGAGAGAGGGACGAGAAGACCCUAUAGAUCUUUAAAGAAUAAUUAAAAUAUGUUUUAAGGUUUUCUUUUUAUUUGGGGAAAAUCCUGAAAUAGUUGAGUAGAGUAAACUUCGGUUAAUGAGAAAAUUUAAUGAUUGAACUUUGAUCCAUUUAAGAUGAAAAGAUGAAAAAGUUACCUUAGGGAUAACAGGACAAUGAUCUCUUAUUAGAGGUCUCAUCUUAAGAGACGUUUGUUACCUCGAUGUUGAAUUAAGUUAUCUUAGUAAAGUAGAAGUUACUAAAGUUGGUCUGUUCGACCAUUGAAAAC